UUUUUUUUUGUUGAUCUUCAUGCCUCCAAGCUCACCAAGGCAAAUCUAUAUUUUAAUGGUAUUUCGGGAUUGCCAGGAUUAAGACUUUGUGGACGUUAGUCUUGUGAGUUGCCAUUAUUGAGGUUUUCUGAGUUAAAGGUGACUGGGUCCUAAGACGAGGUGCUUUUCCCUAUCUAUUGCUCGGUAGGUUUACCAUGACACUAAAUGUUAGCAACUGUGCCCAGAGUCACUCCGCUGACACUUAAGGUCUAAUUAUGUGUAUAUGAAUACUUGAUGUGAAAUACUAAGACUCAUUUGUUAAGUUAUAUAUGUAUAUUAUGGUUGAUGAUGCCAUUAUGAAUACAUAAUCGGGUCUUAUGAAUUGUUUUCA
Theobroma cacao (cacao) is the source of this 370-nucleotide non-coding RNA. NCBI's taxonomy places the organism in Eukaryota, Viridiplantae, Streptophyta, Magnoliopsida, Malvales, Malvaceae. The record is from RefSeq and is a predicted model, not a curated record.